GACGAACGCUGGCGGCGUGCUUAACACAUGCAAGUCGAACGAUGAAGAAGAGCUUGCUCUUCGGAUUAGUGGCGAACGGGUGAGUAACACGUGACUAACCUGCCCCUUUCUCUGGGAUAACGCUCCGAAAGGAGUGCUAAUACCGGAUACUCACAUCGAGGCACAUGCCUUGAUGUGGAAAGUUUUUCGGAAAGGGAUGGAGUCGCGGCCUAUCAGCUUGUUGGUGAGGUAACGGCUCAUCAAGGCGACGACGGGUAGCCGGCCUGAGAGGGCGACCGGCCACACUGGGACGGAGACACGGACCAGACUCCUACGGGAGGCAGCAGUGGGGAAUAUUGCACAAUGGGCGCAAGCCUGAUGCAGCAACGCCGCGUGAGGGAUGACGGCCUUCGGGUUGUAAACCUCUUUUAGUAGGGAAGAAGCGAAAGUGACGGUACCUGCAGAAAAAGCACCGGCUAACUACGUGCCAGCAGCCGCGGUAA
RNAcentral lists this ribosomal RNA (482 nucleotides) under uncultured bacterium. Its description in RNAcentral is "partial 16S ribosomal RNA". It matches the Rfam family "Bacterial small subunit ribosomal RNA", at positions 28 to 523 of the family's 1533-position model. The record is from RNAcentral.